Lepus europaeus (European hare) is the source of this 1795-nucleotide long non-coding RNA. RefSeq lists it as uncharacterized. The record is from RefSeq and is a predicted model, not a curated record. The transcript is spliced from 3 exons. NCBI's taxonomy places the organism in Eukaryota, Metazoa, Chordata, Mammalia, Lagomorpha, Leporidae.
CCGCCGCUGGCCGCAGCUGCCGCCAGUCCGUCCGUCACUGCGUCCGUCUGUCUGGUCCACGUCGUCGCCGCCGCCGCCUCCUCAGCCCGGACGCCCGGGGCCCGCCCAGCGCCGCCCGGAGCAGCCGCGGCCCCGCGAGGAGACGGGCACCGCCCCCGCCCGGCCCUACCCUGCCCCCGCCCUCUUCCCCGUCUGUCCGUCCGUCCGUCCGUGCGUCCGUCCGCCGCCCCCCGCGCUUCCGUCCUUCCGUGCGGCCGCCCGCCCCCCGGCUCGAGUCCCCGCUCGGUCCGCUUUGUCUCUCCCCGGCUCGCUGUCUCUUUGUCUCUGCCCUGGCGCUCCUCGCAGCCCCUCCCUCGCUCCCCGGUCUCGGGGCCCCGGCGUAGCGCCCCUCUCCGACCUCAGAGCCGCCUCCGGGCGCCCCCACAGCUUUGGGGGCCGCUCCCACUGGCCCACAGCACAGAGGUCCCCCUGGGUCUGUCCGCAUCCUUUGGGGUGCUCCUUUCUAUCUGUGCCCCAAGUUCCUGGGGUCUUGCCUGCUCUGGGCUCCCAUUCUCCCAGGCGUCUCCUUCUUCCGAGAAUCCCCCAGACCCACUGGGACCUCUCAGAUCCCUUGGGGGUCUCGCCUUGGGACCCCUCGUGGCUCCCCAGCCCCCCCCCCUGCCUUGCCUUGGUUUGUCCCUUGGCUGUCUCCUGUUCUCUCCCAGCACCCCGCUUCUCUGGCUCGGGGCCCCUGCUUCGCCCUCCCUGCCCCUCGGAGCCGGUGUCUGUCUCAGGGGUCCCCCUGUGAGCCUGCUCCUCUGCCUGGGGCUCUUGGCCCCCGUGCUUCUCCGCCCGGCCCCCUGUCUCCCCUUCUCUCUUGCUCCCUUGUUUUCUCCCUCUCCCUCUUUCUGUCUUUGCCGGCUCUCUGGGUCUCUGACCCCAUCCGGCCCUCAUGGCUUUGUGUCUGGAGCUCUUGAAGCAAUGAGCCGUGUGAGGCAUUGUGUCGUCUGCCAAGCUCUUUCCUGACCAUUGUUCCUCACAGCCGUCUUGGAAGGAAGUCAGAAGCCAGUGGAGUUCUCUCCAGUUCUCAGAAGCAAGUCACCCUCCCCUGACAGUCCUGGCAGCAGACCCCAUUAAACCCGGCCAGGGUGAGGGCUGGGGCACUGAACAUGGAACAGGAAUGAAAUCCAGUUGUUGACAGGCGUUUGAUGAGGUUGAUGACGUGUGUGGUGUGAACACCUCUCCAGCUCCCGGGUUUCUCGGUCUGUGGCUUCCUUUCCUCACUCAGUCUGUACUGGAGUCAGCUGUGUUCCUCAUCACCCAUUUCUGGAAACCAAGGUUAGCGUAAAUAAACUUCCAACUCUAGAGCUAGGAGAUGAUUGUUUCUUGUUUCAGUGUGUGGGGUCCCAGAACGUGACCAAUGCCAGGGCCAGGCUAUAGUCAGAGCACCUUCUCCCCAACCCAGGCUCUCUGGUUUCUGGACGUUGCUGGCCUGGAUCAGCAGUGGAGACCAGGUGCACCGAGGCCUGGUGUGGCCAGUGAAUGGUCUCCUAGUAGGACAAGGGCAAGAGAGGCGGUCCCAGCUAUACUCAGCUUAGCCCAGAGCUGAAUUGGACUUGGAAAGCAUUACCAAGGCCUGUCCUCCCAGCCCUGGGCCUGGCUCUGAGAGAAUAGGGAGACAGACAAAGCGUCUGCCCCUGGGAACUUAGGUCUGACAGGGAGACAAGGCCUACAAUUAUGAGAGACUGUGUGACAGUCUGUAAUUAAGUGUCGGCUGAGGAAAAGCAUUGUCUGAGAAGGAAGGAGUGAGUGUGAG